CUUAUCAUAAACAUGGAGAAUAAAUGAUAAAUUCUUUCCUUUUUCUAUUUGCUAUACCGUACCGAUUGUUGCUCUAGUAUUUGUAGUAGAUUAUAAAAAAAAGGGGUAAAAUUUCGAUAAGUGUUGGUGCGUCAUUGAGUUGCAUUAAGCGCUCGAACUCCCUGAUUUUCAUAGAAGAAAAGAGGAAAGAACUUUGGUUUGAAGGAAGAAAGGGAAGAUAACGGUCAAAUCCGGGAAGACCCUGGCAGGACUCUUCAAUACGCCAACAUAACAGGCGGAGAGAGAGCAGGAGAGAGAGAGAGGAGUUUAUAUAGAGGCUUCUGCCUCGUCAGUCGUUUCUCGCUCGGCUUAUUCAGCGGUCGUAUCUUAGAUACUGCGCCGCUCACUACCGAAAAACCGUUUUGUGUGUCUCUUCUACUGUGAGUUUUCUGUUAUAUUUUUCAUAAGAUUUAGGCCAACAUUGCAUUUAGUGGUUCAGUGUUACAUGGAUAUUUCCGCCUAAAUUUGAGUCUCUUUAUAGAAGCAAUUAAAUCAUGGAUUGGAAGAAGUGUUCAUGGAUUAAUUAUGUCUCGUUGACGUUAUUAUCUGUGUUGGCAGCCAUACCAGAAUCAAAAUCGGACAAUAGUGUUCACAUAUUCUCAACUUAUCGUCUGCCCGUGACGUCCAGCAUAUUAAACUGGCUACCGAUAAGUCAUUAUGAUUCUUCCAAGAACAAUACCCUUGUCAUCGGUGGAUUCCAAAUUUCCAAAUCAACAGACGAAAACUACAAUGAGGGUCCAUCAGAACAGCGAGAGAUGUACGUUUGUCGUGCAGCUCAAAGUGGUGUGUGGGUGGCUGGUGCACAGUUAAAAGGAGAGAAGAAAUGCACCGUUACCGUUCUAGGGAUUGUACAAGCUGUCGAGAAUUAUGAAUUACUAGAGAAUGUCGAUAACGCUGCUCGACUGAGCUGGGUCAGUUGGAGUAAAUUUUAUCCAAUUCCGACGGGUGCUGUUGUUACCGAAACCAUGUACGUGGCACGCUACCCUGUUACCCGGAACGAGACUGACAAGGAUACCCUAACACCUACCUACACCCACUACAUCGGCACACUGAAUCACGACGAGAAACUAGGAACAAUAGCCUACGUCAAGAGCGAUGGUCAACAAGGAUCUACAAACGCUGGGGAGUUAUUAGUCGAAACAGAGCCAAUUUACUAUGAAUUAACUUCCGUUAAGUUAAAUCACUGGCGUACUCGUAUAAUUAAAAGUGAAUCGAAAAUAAUCGGACAAGCUACAAUUAGUAAUUCGGGGACUGAAGGGGCCAAGCUGGUUGAGAAAUCUGCAUAUGGCUACAAAUAUUCCAGUUACUGGGGACAAGGCCAUGCUAUGAUUAAGGCACUCAACACUUCUAUUACGUUGUUUAAUAGGACCAAGUUACCCACUAUUAAAUGGGGAAUGGAAGAGAGAUCCGAGCGUAUGGAUAGCUAUUCACUGGAGAUUUAUUUGGAGCCUGGGACUGGAGUGAAUGUGAAGGUUAAAGCCAAUUAUACAGAGUAUGAGGUGCCAUACACUGGGCAAUUGGUGUCACACUAUGAAGACGGUGAGAGCAAGUCUAGAGAGAUCAGUGGAAUGCGUAGGGAGGAAACAAUCACAGAUUUGCGGUCAGAAUUUGGACCUAUUUAUUUUCUCAGCAAUUCGAGUAUUGUUCCCACGACGGUAAAACCUCCCACAACGCGCGGAGCCACUACUUUUUCCAGUUCAAGUACAAAUUCCAUUUCUGGCACCUUACUCAUUUCGUCGACCUCCACGAAUAAACAAAAUGAUAUCAACAACGUUAUGGACAGCAGUGAAGAUGGUAAUAGCAUUAUCCCACCGAGACAUGAUUCAAAUAUGCAGAGCGAUGACGGGGGGCCGCAAUCUUUAAAGAAUAAGGAUGCAUUAGGCGCGGCCACCAGUUCGUUACCUUCUCUUUACAUUUCCAUAGCACUAAUCCUGGUGACUCUUUACAGGAUUACGUGAAGCUAUUAUCAAUCAGAAAUUAUAGGAAAUGAAAUUCCAUGUAAACACUCCGAUUAAGAUAUCACUACAUUCCUCAUCCAAUGAAAUAUUUAUUAAAAAAGAUUAUAUAGGUUACUUGCACAGUUCUUUCAAUAUUGUUUCCUCGAGUAUUUCCCUUUUAGACGCGUUGUUUCUCAUUUUUGUUGGAAAGGAAUGAGCAAGUAUAAUAUGACCAAAAAAAAUAUUUCAAAUCUAUUGUGAGAUAUCUCUCACUGAGCUGAGCGACCUCUAUGUGGCUAAUAAAGAUGUUAUCAUUUCCUAAUAAUCAUAGCAAAAUAUGAACGUCAGAAUAUACACGUCACUAACUACUACAAUAAAUAUGCUUGCCUUUCUGAGAUGAGGCAGCUAUUGUCAAGUUUCGAAGCAUUUUAGUUUAAAAAUUGACAAGAGCACACUCACGUUACAUAGCACUUUAAGGAACGAUAUAUUUCUCAACUAGUCUAACUGAACGUCAAGUACAAUGUUAAAGAAAUACGAGGCAAAUUAUAGGUCUCAUGUUCCAUACACUUGUUAAAUUAAACUCUGAUGGAAGUAACCCUUAAUACGAAUGAAUAAAUCGGUAGUUAAGAUUCAAGAAAAACGGGGUUUGCUACAGCGAUUAGAUCGAUAUAAUCCACCAAUACUCUCCUAAUUUCAUGUAGACACUGAUACCAUUUAUCGACGAAUUUGGUGGACCACACGAUAAAUCAUAUGACUGUAUGUCGAGAUAAUAUUUUCUUGGAAUUUAUCGAGCAAAUAAAUGAAUAUGAGAAUGACAUUCAGGAAAAUGAAUGUAGUUGUAAUUUGGGGGAGAGUGCAGCUAUGUUAUAUUUUUGGAAUUGGAAUACAAAGAAGAUGUGUAAUAUUUAUAACAAUUUAACUAUAAGUUUUUUGCCGAGAUACUAUCAGCGCUUGUGAAAUAUUGAAGAUGGAUUGAAUCUUCGCAAUUAUGUUUAUUUCUCAUACUCUAUUCAAUUGAUUAUGUAUUCUACUGUUUUAGCAUUCUUACCGCUGACACUUUAGUUGAAUUGAAUGUUUUUUUGCAUGGUUUUGUUCCAUAAAUUGAAUCGCAUAAUAAAAAUAUAAGAGCAAAAGAGUCAAAAUAAAUUCAUUAGUAAAAAUUAUGGUAAAAUCAAUCAAUCUUGCUUGAAAAUACAUGCUUUUGCAAGAGAUAGGGAUUUUAUAGAGUGAAGCAGGAUUUAUUCGAACGUUUUAAUGGAAAAUUAACAAAUAUUUCAACGUGUAUUCUCUAUGCCUUCUUUAGAAAAUUCGCAAUUCAUCUUCGAAGAAAGAUACUACUAUCUACCUUUUUUAGAAAUAAGCUCUUUCAUACCGGCUUUUUCAAGCGUAGAGCUCGAGGCUUUGAUGACAUAGUCGUUAUGUGAUUAUAGUUUCAUCUUAUUAGCUGUUUUGUUUUUUUUUGUCUCAUUGGAUAUAAUUUGAAUAGAAAGUUUGGAAAAUCAUAAUUUUGAUUUUAAAUAUAUUGCAAGACUUGUCGAGGCCUACGGCACUGGCAUAAUAGAAAACUAAUUUGUUCGCUGAAGGCGAACAGAAGCAAAAUUAACUGAAAUUAUCAUGAAAAUGCCCAACCUGACCUAUUAUUCAAAUGGAGAGCACAAUUAGUUAUAAUUUCCUACCCGGAUAUUAUAAGGUAUUUCCCAAAAGCUGCAUUACUAUCUAGGGUAACUAAACACAAAUACCUGAUUCAUUUUCAAGCCACGAGCGGUACAUAUUCGGCAGAUCAGCUCUUCUAUUUAAAUGGGCAUUUGUGAAAUUUGAGAUUUAAAGAUGUUCGACACCCUUUCAGAUAAAAUUAUUUUAUUAGGUUUUUUAAAUUUUUCUGGCAAAUUAUUAAUAAAAUCGACGUGAAAAAAUAUAGGGUUUUUGCGUUUUGCCAUUAUUUAAUCGCCCACGAAGUUUCACGAUGGCGCGAUCAUUUUCAUACGUUUUCUAUACAAUUUUGUGACUUUUUGUUUAAGUUUAGAAAACACGCAGGAAAAUUGUCACAGCACCGUCAAACUUCGUGAAUCAUUAAAUAACGACCAAACGCAAAAAUGUUAUAUCUUUUGGAGGAAAAGGCCGUAGUACGUCCUUAAAAUUAGACAGCCACCGCUUUUUCAUUAGUAUGAAGAUGAACGAUAUUAUUUGAUCUAUCUUUAAUAAUUGUAUCAGGUUAAAAUCCUAUGGAAGGCUAUGAUUUCUCGUUCUGCAAGAUUCGCGAUAUAUAUUGUAAUGGGACUAGUUAUUGACAGUGCCCUAAUUUCUAACCGUUUAUUAAUAGAAACAAAAUGUCUUAUAAUAGUUGUCACUCCAAAAGAAUUGUUUUUUAUGAAUAGUAUGGACCAUGAGUGAGAUUUUCAUGAAAUAGCGUAACGACUCCAGUCCAUUCAUCCAUUCAUUUGUGACAAUUUUAUUAAAGUACAAGUGCUGAAGAAGAGAGCUAUACGAAGUGUUCCAGUUGUAAGAGGACUCAGGCUCAGGAUUAGGAGCAGAGGGGGAAAAUCACUUGGCGAGAUUAGUUCCCUAUGUGAGUGAAAUGUGAGAAAAUGAAAGAGGACACCAAAUUCAUCAACAAUCGCCCUGGAAGGCGUCGGUAUGAAGUCUUUAUGAGAUAUCAUCCUGAACGUGCUGUUCGAAUUUUCCAAAAUUUGUUACACGGGAAGAACAGAGCUUGAAAAAUCAAGACUUGAAGAAAGAGAAAGCAGAAACAUCGAAAGCCUCAAGUCCCAAAAGUAAUUAAACAAGAACUCAUUACUGAACAAUAAAAUCAUUACUUUAUUUGUGAA
Molecule: RNA transcript, 4801 nt
Organism: Fopius arisanus
Lineage: Eukaryota; Metazoa; Arthropoda; Insecta; Hymenoptera; Braconidae
Gene: uzip
Gene name: unzipped
Exons: 7
Source: RefSeq, a predicted model, not a curated record